RNAcentral lists this unclassified non-coding RNA (435 nucleotides) under Hevea brasiliensis (rubber tree). The record is from RNAcentral. Lineage: Eukaryota; Viridiplantae; Streptophyta; Magnoliopsida; Malpighiales; Euphorbiaceae.
CUUGAGCAUUUACAGAUUUGAACUCAUAUGAAAUUAUAGCUUAUAUUUCCAUUCUAAGAAUCUCGAUGAAAUCUUGAAGCGGAGAAUCUCAAUAAGCCUACUUGUUAUUGAUCUGAUUGCUAGGAUUUAUUAUUGUUGGGGUUUUAUAUUUAUAAAGAGUGUUGUAAUCUUCUGUUUCUAAUUGUGAAGAAAUAUGGAAUACGAUCAUCGCUCUAUGGCUUUUUUGGAGACCAUGAAUGCCUAAUUUCUCUCUCUUGCUGUCUCACUUACUCACUCACUCUAUCUUCCCCCUUCCUUCCUCUUUCUGUGUUUCUUAAUCUUUUGGCAUUCUUUUCACACAAUAAAUAUUUAUAAUUCCUAAGUUCUAAAUUGGAGCCUUAUUUUUUUCCUUCUCUAAUCCUCUUUUUUUUGCAAGACAGCUUAUUAGCUUAAAAG